This 380-nucleotide unclassified non-coding RNA is filed under the name uncultured Pseudomonadota bacterium. RNAcentral describes it as "uncultured proteobacterium contains 16S-23S intergenic spacer region". Lineage: Bacteria; Pseudomonadati; Pseudomonadota. The record is from RNAcentral.
UCCGGUUUGGCACCGGCAGUAUCCCAUGAGUCCCCAACUAAAUGAUGGCAACUAAGGGCGAGGGUUGCGCUCGUUGCGGGACUUAACCCAACAUCUCAUGACACGAGCUGACGACAGCCAUGCAGCACCUGUCUCCGGUCCAGCCGAACUGAAGGGAUCGAUCUCUCGUUCCCGCGACCGGGAUGUCAAAGGCUGGUAAGGUUCUUCGCGUUGCUUCGAAUUGAGCCACAUGCUCCACCGCUUGUGCGGGCCCCCGUCAAUUCCUUUGAGUUUUAAUCUUGCGACCGUACUCCCCAGGCGGGCAACUUCACGCGUUAGCUGCGUUACUAAAGGAGUUCAUCCUCCAACAACUAGUUGCCAUCGUUUAGGGCGUGGACUAC